RNAcentral lists this long non-coding RNA (1350 nucleotides) under Malus domestica (apple). Its description in RNAcentral is "long non-coding RNA (MDOM_LNC020452)". The record is from RNAcentral. Lineage: Eukaryota; Viridiplantae; Streptophyta; Magnoliopsida; Rosales; Rosaceae.
UCCGUUGAAAACUCUGUUAAUGUGCUGACAUGGCACAUGUAUGGGACUCAUAACUACACUUAUGUGUUGCCAUGUGGGUUAAAAAAAUAUCAAUUUGUAAAAAUUGCUUAAAGGUUUUCAAACCAUAAAGAAAAACUAAAAAAAUGAAAAUGAGAAGGUAAAUUAACAAACACCAACCCAAAGGGGCCAAAACUCAAAACUUCAUCCGCCAUCGGCCCCCCAACUCUAAACGCACAAACCACCUCAACCCAGAUUGGACCCCUCCCUUGACAGCCCUGCCACUCACUACCCUCCCCCACCCACCCACCGAAAAUCCAACUACACAUUUCCCCAAUCUCCAGACCUCUGUCACCCGAGAUCUUCCCAGUUAUUUGUGCAAGACCGACCAAAAAAAAAAAAAAAAAAACAAUCUGUGCAAGGCACAAAUGCUACCCCCUUUGUCACUAAAUUUUCUCUCCUCUCUACAACCCAAACAGAACCACCUUAAUAGUUUUCAUACUGAUACAAUAAAUCGGUGGUUGAAUCAAUUGAGGCACAUCUGCAGUUCAACUUCAUCUUUCCAUUUUCUAGAGAGGGAGAGAAGAGGGGAGGGAGGGGGAGGAGGGGGGGGAAGCGGGCGGUUUGGGUGUUUGGGGAUUUGGAUUGGUUGAAUGUGUGCCACAUCACACAAAUGUAACUUUAAACGAAUUUGGACAAAAGGACCAAACUGAUGUGUGUGAACAAACAUGGAGGACCAAAUUGAUUGAACUGAAACACUGUGAAUGAAAAUUAUGAUUUUCCAAACAUCAAGGACCUUUGUGAUAAAAACCCAUACAUAGAAUAAACAUACAGUACAAUAUGUAUAAUUCAAUAGGAAGCAGAAUUCUUCGAUUCUAUAUAUCUUCUCGAAAACAGAAUUUUGACAUUUUAUUUGGUGAAAUUUUGUUUGCCAGUAUCUUCAACAAAGUAUUGCUUUUCUUUUUUGGGUCUGUGAGAUUAAAAUUUUGGUCUGAACGACUUGGGUUUCAAGUUGCACUCUCAGCAAUCAAAAUGGGAAAAUCGGCCUUGAUAUAUACACUUUUGCAUCGGGUCUGGAACUCUGACUGAAUUUGAGCUUAGGAAGAGGUACUACACUUAUAAAUGACAGUUUCAGUUGCAGAAGACUACCUUGUCCACCAACAACAAAGCCUUUUCUCACUAAAUGGGGUCGGCUAUGACUACCUUUUCCAUCAAGUGAUAAAUUAAAACUAAAAGAAAUGAUACUGGCCUGAAUUUACACUCAGAUGUCAGUGUUAUGUGCACAAAAUUCGCCCCCCCCCCCCUGCACCAAUAAAUUACCUAGUCUCAGCUGGCAUAGGACUCAUUUCUAUC